GGGCAUAUGGUGUAGGGGUUAUCAGGUUCGCUUUGCAUAAGGUUGUAUUUACGAUCCUUUGUCUGCGAAAGGUCUCCGGUUCAAAUCCGGAUUUGUCCA
This is a non-coding RNA of Rhodocollybia butyracea, 99 nucleotides long. NCBI's taxonomy places the organism in Eukaryota, Fungi, Basidiomycota, Agaricomycetes, Agaricales, Omphalotaceae. The record is from the annotation of a GenBank genome assembly.